AUCAUCUCUAAGCCUUUCAGUAUUUUGUUGGUUUGACUUCUUGUUAUUUUUAAAGUACGUCCAGUGUUUGUUUGUUCAUUAAAAUUACUGUUUAAACUUGUAAUUAUUUUUUAUAAGCAAAGUUGCGAAUGGAUAGGUAUUCCGAUAAGACGGACCACAUAUUUUGAACCGGAUAUUUUGGCGUUUCUAAAAAACAGCGAACGCCGCCAUUUACCUGGGUUCGGCACUUAUUUUUUUUAGGAUCGGGAGCUUGGAAAUGUAUGUUACGCGAUAAAAAUUUCAAGUGUACACUUCGAGAGUGCUUAUGUUUGAUUUUCUGCGAAUUGUUUUCUGGU
Non-coding RNA from Cinara cedri, 335 nucleotides. The record is from the annotation of a GenBank genome assembly. Lineage: Eukaryota; Metazoa; Arthropoda; Insecta; Hemiptera; Aphididae.